This 465-nucleotide ribosomal RNA is filed under the name Vreelandella stevensii. RNAcentral describes it as "partial 16S ribosomal RNA". It matches the Rfam family "Bacterial small subunit ribosomal RNA", at positions 338 to 795 of the family's 1533-position model. The record is from RNAcentral. Lineage: Bacteria; Pseudomonadati; Pseudomonadota; Gammaproteobacteria; Oceanospirillales; Halomonadaceae.
CCUACGGGAGGCAGCAGUGGGGAAUAUUGGACAAUGGGGGGAACCCUGAUCCAGCCAUGCCGCGUGUGUGAAGAAGGCCCUCGGGUUGUAAAGCACUUUCAGUGAGGAAGAACGCCUGGUGGUUAAUACCCAUCAGGAAAGACAUCACUCACAGAAGAAGCACCGGCUAACUCCGUGCCAGCAGCCGCGGUAAUACGGAGGGUGCGAGCGUUAAUCGGAAUUACUGGGCGUAAAGCGCGCGUAGGUGGCUUGAUAAGCCGGUUGUGAAAGCCCCGGGCUCAACCUGGGAACGGCAUCCGGAACUGUCAAGCUAGAGUGCAGGAGAGGAAGGUAGAAUUCCCGGUGUAGCGGUGAAAUGCGUAGAGAUCGGGAGGAAUACCAGUGGAGAAGGCGGCCUUCUGGACUGACACUGACACUGAGGUGCGAAAGCGUGGGUAGCAAACAGGAUUAGAUACCCCGGUAGUC